Molecule: ribosomal RNA, 775 nt
Filed under: uncultured Neocallimastigales
Lineage: Eukaryota; Fungi; Neocallimastigomycota; Neocallimastigomycetes; Neocallimastigales
Description: partial large subunit ribosomal RNA
Rfam family: Eukaryotic large subunit ribosomal RNA
Source: RNAcentral
GUAGUCUCGCACAGAUGCAUAUCAAUAAGCGGAGGAAAAGAAACUAACAAGGAUUCCCCUAGUAACGGCGAGUGAAGCGGGAAGAGCUCAAAUUUGAAAUCUUAAAGGGUUUCCCUUUACGAAUUGUAGUUUAAAGAAGUGUUCUCUGUUGAGGUUUUGGUAAAAGUUCUUUGGAAUAGGACAUCAUAGAGGGUGAGAAUCCCGUAUUUGACCUUUACUUUCAACUUUGUGAUACACUUUCAAAGAGUCGGAUUGUUUGGGAAUGCAGUCCAAAAUGGGUGGUAAAUUUCAUCUAAAGCUAAAUAUUGGCGAGAGACCGAUAGCGAACAAGUACCGUGAGGGAAAGAUGAAAAGAACUUUGAAAAGAGAGUUAAACAGUACGUGAAAUUGUCAAAAGGGAAGCGUUUGACACCAGUGCUUGUUUUUCUGAAAAUCAAUUAAAGAACUGUUUAUGCUAAGUUGUUUAGACUUUAUCAGCUAACUGUUUAGUUUUGAGCUUUUCUUUAAUGCACUUUUCAGUUAACAAGUCAACAUCAAUUUCUUUUGCUGUAAAAAAGCUUGAGGAAGGUGGCUUGAGAUUCGUCUUAAGUGUUUAUAGCCUCUUGCCUAUGCAGUCGGAGAGAUUGAGGUCUGCAGCGUAGAUCCUUCGGGGCUAAAUGCAUUUGUGCUAAGUUAUAACAUUUUAUAGACAACUUGUUGACUAUGAUUUGUCUUGUAGCUUACUCGCUUAUGUUAUUUUACCUACGCUUAGGAUGUUGAUCUGUAGUGCGUGCGC